Molecule: ribosomal RNA, 368 nt
Filed under: uncultured fungus
Lineage: Eukaryota; Fungi
Description: eukaryotic LSU rRNA
Rfam family: 5.8S ribosomal RNA (bases 1-52)
Source: RNAcentral
AACGCACCUUGCGCCCUCUGGUAUUCCGGAGGGCAUGCCUGUUUGAGUGUCAUUAAAUUCUCAACUUCAUAAGUUUUUAUUAACUUUGUGAAGCUUGGAUGUGGAGGUUUGCUGGCGUCUCAGAUGUUCAGCUCCUCUUAAAUAUAUUAGUGGAACCCCGUUUUGUUGGUCCAUCUUGGUGUGAUAAUUAUCUACGCUUUGUUUGGUUCAACUUGUCAGGUUAAGCCUUUGAUUAGGUUGUCCUGGUUGGGAUAUUGCAUUAGUUUGCUUUAUCUGAUGGGAAAAGUCUGCUUUCUAACCGUCUGUGUAUGCGGACAAUUUAUUGACUAUUUGACCUCAAAUCAGGUAGGACUACCCGCUGAACUUAA